Molecule: ribosomal RNA, 282 nt
Filed under: uncultured prokaryote
Description: partial 16S ribosomal RNA
Rfam family: Bacterial small subunit ribosomal RNA
Source: RNAcentral
CACGGGGGUUGCGAGCGUUGUCCGGAAUUACUAGGCGUAAAGGGCAGGCAGGCGGUUCCAUAAGUUUAUCGUUUAAGGCGUCGGCUUAACCGGCGUAGGGCGGUAGAUACUGUGGAUCUGGAAUGCGGUUGGGGAAGACAGAAUUCCUGGUGUAGCGGUGGAAUGCGCAGAGAUCAGGAGGAGUACCGAAGGCGAAGGCAGUCUUCCAAGCCGUUAUUGACGCUCAACUGCGAAGGUGUGGGUAUCAAACAGGAUUAGAUACCCGGGUAGUCCCUGAGCGGG